Molecule: ribosomal RNA, 630 nt
Filed under: uncultured bacterium
Lineage: Bacteria
Description: bacterial SSU rRNA
Rfam family: Bacterial small subunit ribosomal RNA
Source: RNAcentral
CGCGGCCUAUCAGCUUGUUGGUGGGGUAAUGGCCUACCAAGGUGACGACGGGUAGCCGGCCUGAGAGGGCGACCGGCCACACUGGGACUGAGACACGGCCCAGACUCCUACGGGAGGCAGCAGUGGGGAAUAUUGCGCAAUGGGCGGAAGCCUGACGCAGCGACGCCGCGUGAGGGAUGAAGGCCUUCGGGUCGUAAACCUCUUUCAGCAGGGAAGAAGCGUGAGUGACGGUACCUGCAGAAGAAGCACCGGCUAACUACGUGCCAGCAGCCGCGGUAAUACGUAGGGUGCAAGCGUUGUCCGGAAUUAUUGGGCGUAAAGAGCUCGUAGGCGGUCUGUCGCGUCUGCUGUGAAAACUCAGGGCUUAACCCUGAGCUUGCAGUGGGUACGGGCAGACUAGAGUGCGGUAGGGGAGACUGGAAUUCCUGGUGUAGCGGUGAAAUGCGCAGAUAUCAGGAGGAACACCGGUGGCGAAGGCGGGUCUCUGGGCCGUAACUGACGCUGAGGAGCGAAAGCAUGGGGAGCGAACAGGAUUAGAUACCCUGGUAGUCCAUGCCGUAAACGUUGGGCGCUAGGUGUGGGGACCUUUCCAUGGUUUCCGUGCCGCAGCUAACGCAUUAAGCGCCCCGC